UACGGAGGUGGCAAGCGUUGUCCGGAUUUACUGGGCGUAAAGGGCGUGCAGGCGGUCUGCUAAGUCUGGGGUGAAAGCUCCCGGCUCAACUGGGGGAGGUCCUUGGAGACUGGCGGACUUGAGGGAUGCAGAGGAAAGUGGAAUUCCCGGUGUAGUGGUGAAAUGCGUAGAGAUCAGGAAGAACACCGGUGGCGAAGGCGCUCUGCUAGGCCGCAACUGACACUGAGGGACGAAAGCGUGGGGAGCGAAUGGG
Molecule: ribosomal RNA, 253 nt
Filed under: uncultured bacterium
Lineage: Bacteria
Description: partial 16S ribosomal RNA
Rfam family: Bacterial small subunit ribosomal RNA
Source: RNAcentral